GCUUCUGACACCGGUAACUGCCUCUGUGCAUGACGCACAUGUGCAGACGAUGCUCGCCGCCAUGCAACAGCAGCCAGGAUACAAGCUUUGCCCUGGAGUUGUGGUUGUCUGUGUACGCGAGCUCGCUGCCCAGCAACGACGGAAGGAUAAUUUGGUGAAAUGUCAUCACCGAUGGUAAAGCAGUCCAUUUUCCUAAGCGACUGGUUGUCCUUCUCUAUAUAAGUUCCGGGACAGGGUGGCAGCCAAUUCAGGCGAAUCCACACGAGACAAAUGAAAGAUUCUCCCGGCGCCUCCUCAAAGGUCUUGACAGCUUUUCCAGGAACCGCCAAGAGACAUAUAUUUUUAUAAAAAGGCCUCUGUUUUUUGGUUUACUGUAUUAACAAUCAG
Long non-coding RNA from Corythoichthys intestinalis (scribbled pipefish), 387 nucleotides. RefSeq lists it as uncharacterized. Lineage: Eukaryota; Metazoa; Chordata; Actinopteri; Syngnathiformes; Syngnathidae. The transcript has 3 exons. The record is from RefSeq and is a predicted model, not a curated record.